UGGGGAAUAUUGCACAAUGGGGGAAACCCUGAUGCAGCAACGCCGCGUGAGUGAAGAAGUAUUUCGGUAUGUAAAGCUCUAUCAGCAGGGAAGAAAAUGACGGUACCUGAGUAAGAAGCCCCGGCUAACUACGUGCCAGCAGCCGCGGUAAUACGUAGGGGGCAAGCGUUAUCCGGAUUUACUGGGUGUAAAGGGAGCGUAGACGGUGAUGCAAGUCUGAAGUGAAAGCCCGGGGCUCAACCCCGGGACUGCUUUGGAAACUGUAUGGCUGGAGUGCUGGAGAGGCAAGCGGAAUUCCUAGUG
RNAcentral lists this ribosomal RNA (303 nucleotides) under uncultured bacterium. RNAcentral's name for it is "bacterial SSU rRNA". It matches the Rfam family "Bacterial small subunit ribosomal RNA", at positions 355 to 675 of the family's 1533-position model. The record is from RNAcentral.